CGGUGGUGUGCAACGCUCCAGCGUGGUGCUGCCGGACAGGAACCGGGACGAGAACCAUUGUGGGUCCCAGAAAGACUGACGCGUGCGACAAGCCCUUCGACUGAAGACUAAUCCUGUCCUGCCGGAGACCAGCAGCAGGCCUGACAGCCAGAUGAACCCGAAAAAGGCUGCUUUUUUCGUUGGGGGCGUUGUCCUAGCACUCCUCAGGAUAAGUAUGGUACAUGCGGGGCUGGGGGGCCCCGCUUCUGGAAUAGAUCUUCGCACGAGCCUUCUUGGCAGUCCGUGCGAUUGCGGAGGUGGCACGGUAAGCAGUAUACCACCUAGCGCCAAAAAAGGACCAGGGACCGAUUGUGGGGAUAAAACAGCUUACUCAGUUGUGUACAGCUCCACUGCAGGAGGAUUUAGUCAACCAUCCUAUCAGUGCAUACUUAAGCCUAAGGUGAGUCCCUCAGGGCCUGGUGAUCUCGCCACAUGUCCCUGCACUAAGUUUGAGGAAUCCAUGCAUGUUACAUGCUAUACAGAGACAAAACAAUGCAAACUCAAGAGUACAACCUAUUGGAUGGCAACGCUAACUACAACUAAAAGCCCUGUUGCCCCUAACCAUAUUCCCGCUGCUGUAGGCGGUUCCCCAUUCAUGCAGUCAGGUUGUAAUGGAGAGGUUGGAGAAACGGUCUGUUGGUCUAUGACCGCUCCCGUUCACAUCUCUGACGGUGGAGGGGUCCAAGACCAGUACCGGCAGGAGCAGGUCAUCGAGCGAUGGGAACAAUUAAAUCCGUUCCCUGAAGUCAAUUACCAUCCACUCCUAUGCCCAAAAUCCCGAGGCAUUAACCUUGACCCCGCUACUGAAUCCAUAUUAGAGGCUACCCACAAAGCACUCAAUCUUACUGACCCAGGGCUGGCCUCCGAUUGUUGGCUGUGUAUGAUGAUGGGAGAAUCAUGGCCGUUGGCCAUGCCGUUUAGAGACAAUGAAAGUGAACCUUACAAUUACAACGCACCCUAUAAUUGCUCACAUGGGCCUCCAUUUCGGGUCCAGUUUAUGGGACAGUUUAAUGCAUCCUGUUUCCAAAAGUACCCACAAAAUAAUAGUUAUGAUAUUGUUGUUGGAGCGCUGGCAGUCGCCUCGUGUGAGUCCAUAACCAAUGUAAGUAGUAGCUCGCCGCUAUGUGCCCCCUUUGGCAAAGUAUUUGCUUGCGGCAAUGGUCAUGCUUAUACUUACCUGCCCAGUAAUUGGACCGGCCUAUGUGGCCUAGCUUACUUGUUGCCUGACAUUGGUAUUGUCCCUGGGGACCAACCCAUGCCCAUCCCAGCUGUGGACACCUUUAUAAAAAGACAUAAGAGAGAUGUACUGAUUUUACCUCUCUUGGCUGGUCUGGGGAUAACUGGAGCCCUGGCCGCCGGGACUGCGGGCCUAGGAGUUUCAUUAACCAAA
Cavia porcellus (domestic guinea pig) is the source of this 1429-nucleotide long non-coding RNA. RefSeq lists it as uncharacterized. Lineage: Eukaryota; Metazoa; Chordata; Mammalia; Rodentia; Caviidae. The transcript has 2 exons. The record is from RefSeq and is a predicted model, not a curated record.